UUUAAAUUUAAAUUAUUUAUAUUUUAUAAAAAUAAUUUUAAUUUUAGUAUUUUUUUAAGAAUAGAUAAAUUUUAUUAAUAGAUUAUUUAACUGUAAAGGUUAAUUAUUUAAUAAUAAAAUAGUAAAAUUAAUUAUUUGUACCUUUUGUAUCAGGGUUUAUCAAUAUUUUUUAUUUAUAAAUAAAAAUCCCGAAAGUAAAAGAGAUAUUUAUUAUUGUUAUUUAAUGUAUUAAAAUUAUUAAUUAAUAAUAGAUAGAGGUUAUAUGCUAUACAAUUUUAUAUAUCUGGUUUUUUGAUAAUUGAAUUUAAUUCAGAAUUGGUUUGUUUAAUAUAUAAUUAUAUUUAUAUUAAAACUUCCAAUUUAAAAUUAAUAAGGAUAAGCUUAUUAAUUGGUCUAUAAUUUAUAAUUUAUAUUGGGUUAUGUAGGAUUAGAAAUUUUCAUCAUUUAUUUUGUUAUAAUGGAGCUCAAUUUUCAUUUUAUUUUAUUAUAAUUUAGUUUUAUAUCAAAAAUUAUUAUUUAAUAACUAAUUAAUAGUUAUAAUGAUAAAAUUAGUAAAUUAGUUAAUUAAUAUAUAGUAAUUCGGCAAAAUUAUUCUUCACCUGUUUAUCAAAAACAUGUCUUAAUGUAUUUAUAUUAAGUCUAACCUGCUCAAUGAUUUAAAAAUUUAAAUAGCCGCAGUAUUUUGACUGUGCGAAGGUAGCAUAAUCAUUUGUCUUUUAAUUGAAGGCUUGUAUGAAUGGUUGAAUGAGGGAAUAACUUUCUUUAUAUUAAAUAUUGAAUUUAAUUUUUAAGUUAAAAAGCUUAAAUUUUUUAAUGGGACGAGAAGACCCUAUAGAAUUUUAUAAUUAUUUAUUUUUUUUUAUUUUGGUUAUUUUAUACUUUAAAAUAAGUAAUUAUUUUGUUGGGGUGACAAUGGAAUUUUUUUAACUUCCAUAUUAUAUUAAUUGUAAAUUUGCAUAUUAAUGAUCCUUAAUUUAGGAUAAUUAGAUUAAUUUACCUUAGGGAUAACAGCGUUAUUUUUCUGGAGAGUUCUUAUUGAUAGAAGAGUUUGCGACCUCGAUGUUGGAUUAAAAUUAGAUUUAAGUGCAGAAGCUUAAUUUCUAGGUCUGUUCGACCUUUAAAUUUUUACAUGAUCUGAGUUCAGACCGGCGUGAGCCAGGUCGGUUUCUAUCUUUUAAAAAUUAGUAUAUAUUAGUACGAAAGGACCAUUUAUACCAAAUAUUUUGUUGACAUUUAUGAGGAUAUUUA
RNAcentral lists this ribosomal RNA (1248 nucleotides) under Eysarcoris gibbosus. RNAcentral's name for it is "16S ribosomal RNA". The stretch from base 808 to 1181 matches the Rfam family "Archaeal large subunit ribosomal RNA", at positions 2146 to 2720 of the family's 2987-position model. Lineage: Eukaryota; Metazoa; Arthropoda; Insecta; Hemiptera; Pentatomidae. The record is from RNAcentral.